UUCCAAUUUGAGUGCACAUUCGCAGUUGAAAGUUUUGUGGUUGAAUCCAGUAGAUUCAAGUCCUUUGAGAGCAACCAAAGCUGCACACAUUCAUUCCUUAGCCUAUUUCAAUUUUCUUUUGUUUUUCAUUUACCAAGUUCUUUGUAAUUUCCAUUGGUUUUUUUGGUUGUAAGUUCCAAAUCCAAGCAAGUGAGGUGAUAGAGUUCACAAGUGCUCUUCCCUCAUUUGUAACUAGACUCAAAGAAGUCUCA
RNAcentral lists this long non-coding RNA (251 nucleotides) under Vigna radiata. RNAcentral's name for it is "long non-coding RNA (VRAD_LNC018547)". The record is from RNAcentral. Lineage: Eukaryota; Viridiplantae; Streptophyta; Magnoliopsida; Fabales; Fabaceae.